Molecule: ribosomal RNA, 443 nt
Filed under: uncultured bacterium
Lineage: Bacteria
Description: SSU rRNA
Rfam family: Bacterial small subunit ribosomal RNA
Source: RNAcentral
AGAGCGAACGCUGGCGGCAGGCCUAACACAUGCAAGUCGAGCGCCCCGCAAGGGGAGCGGCAGACGGGAGAGUAACACGUGGGAACGUACCCUUCAGUUCGGAACAACCCAGGGAAACUUGGGCUAAUACCGAAUACGUCCGUAAGGAGAAAGAUUUAUCGCUGAAGGAUCGGCCCGCGUCUGAUUAGCUUGUUGGUGAGGUAACGGCUCACCAAGGCGACGAUCAGUAGCUGGUCUGAGAGGAUGAUCAGCCUCACUGGGACUGAGACACGGCCCAGACUCCUACGGGAGGCAGCAGUGGGGAAUAUUGGACAAUGGGCGCAAGCCUGAUCCAGCCAUGCCGCGUGGGUGAUGAAGGCCCUAGGGUUGUAAAGCCCUUUCGGCGGGGAAGAUAAUGACGGUACCGCAGAAGAAGCCCCGGCUAACUUCGUGCCAGCAGCCGC